This 1013-nucleotide long non-coding RNA is filed under the name Phoenix dactylifera (date palm). RNAcentral describes it as "long non-coding RNA (PDAC_LNC016420)". Lineage: Eukaryota; Viridiplantae; Streptophyta; Magnoliopsida; Arecales; Arecaceae. The record is from RNAcentral.
UUAUUUUUUCUGGGAAGCACUGUUUUGCAUUAGAAGUUGCAAAGUACUUUUAAAAGAAACAUAAAGAAUUAAAGCUCGCUCUAAUUAAAUGGAUCAGAAUUCUCUACCAUGGGGGAAGAAACUAACACCAUGAACAAAAGGAUAAACGGGAAAUGAGAGGCUAAGCAGAGCAAAGGCCGAUGGACCAUGGAGGAAGACCUCAUCAUGGUAACUGCACAGCAAACCUUGGUCGGUAUGUCUUGAACAACCUUGCCUGGUCUGCAGGUAUCUCAUCACUAAGAUGAAAAAGAGAAAUGACUCGUACAGACACGUAGCAAAGGCUGCAGGAAUAAUCAGCAUAUGAUCCAGCAGUUGCCUAUCACCUGAGCUGCAAAUAUAAGAGAUUAAAAAUUUUGUAGAAAUUAAAUAGAAUGGGAAGAAAAAUGAGCAAACGAACAGCAACAUAUCUUAAAUAAAGAAAGAGAAGGGAGUGAGGCUCAGAGUUGCUUUUGAUCCAUUAUUAUAGCACAGAGGGAGAAGAAGAUCCCACUUUCUUCCUCAUCUCUGCACUCCUCUCUACAGCUGGUGGUGGCAGCGGUUGCCUGCAGAACAUCAGACCUUCCUAGCUACCCAGCCACCAUUGCCAAGAAAGAGUAAUGCUACAAGGCCAAAACAUUGUAGCAAGACAGAAUGAGCUCUACACCAUAUCACACAAAGAUCUUGAUUACUCAUCACAGCCUCUUCAAAAGACGCGCGCACACAGAGAGAGAGAGAGAAUGCAGAGGAUUAAGAAUCAUCAGCUUGGGAGAGGAGCAGAAGGGGGCAGCUUCGGCGAGAAUAAAGCCACCAGCCCUUCCAUUGCCUCUUCCUGAAGCCUCAUGAUUGAGGUUGUAUCUUUCACGCAAAAGAAGGAUUCAUCUUGGGUGGUUCUAUAUACACCCCCCCUAUUGCUCAGGACACCCCCAAAAUUAAAAAAAAUUAAAUACUCUCUACACCCCCCAUUUGCUAAGGACACCCCUAAAAAAUUAAAAAUU